Cyanistes caeruleus (blue tit) is the source of this 664-nucleotide non-coding RNA. Lineage: Eukaryota; Metazoa; Chordata; Aves; Passeriformes; Paridae. The record is from RefSeq and is a predicted model, not a curated record.
CUGUGCUGGCAGAGAGGGCAGCUCAGCUCAGAGAUGCCCAGGCCCAAAUCUCCAGGAACAGACUAUUGAUUGAAGAGCUCCAUGGAGAGAACAGGAGGUUUGCAAUGGCCCUACAGGCUGCUGAGCUGAAGCAGAAGAGCAUGGAGGAGAAGAACCAGCUGUUGGAGGAACAAGCCUCAGCUCUGAAGCAGCUUAUUGGAAAAAUCACACCAGCAUCUCUGAGUGGGUGAUGGGAUGUGUGCAGUGGUCCUGGCUGGGGCUGGUCUGGUGCAGAAUGGGAGGUAUGGGUUGGGAAAUCAGCCUUGUCCUUUCUGGUCUUGCCAGGAUUUUCCUGUGCAGAAAAUAGCAAAUGGGGAGCCUAGAGUCCUUUUUGUGGAAAUUGGUCCCGUGGAUAGCUGAAUUUUCCAACUGAAAGCAGCAGCCUUGGUGCCUUUCUGUGGCAGUGUGCUGUUUUGUCAUGCCUGUCUCAGGGCAGCCAUUUCACAGGAUUUUCUUUGGCAGUGUUUGCUGGUGAUGCAGGUGCUUGCUCUCUGCAGAAAGCUGAUGUUGGAGCCACAGUUACAUCUUGAAAGCCAGGGCAGAAGGGCUUGCAGGCCCCUGUGCCUGGCUCACUCCAAGCAGGAGAGCUGAAUUGUGGCAUUAAAAUGUUUGUAAUGUUACAGCA